ACGUCAAGUCCUCAUGGCCCUUAUGGGCUGGGCUACACACGUGCUACAAUGGCGGUGACAGCGGGAGGCCAGGCCGCGAGGCCGAGCAGAUCCCGAAAAGCCGUCUCAGUUCGGAUCGCAUCCUGCAACUCGGAUGCGUGAAGGUGGAAUCGCUAGUAAUCGCGGAUCAGCACGCCGCGGUGAAUACGUUCCCGGGCCUU
This 200-nucleotide ribosomal RNA is filed under the name uncultured organism. Its description in RNAcentral is "partial small subunit ribosomal RNA". It matches the Rfam family "Bacterial small subunit ribosomal RNA", at positions 1182 to 1382 of the family's 1533-position model. The record is from RNAcentral.